This 282-nucleotide unclassified non-coding RNA is filed under the name plant metagenome. RNAcentral's name for it is "partial contains small subunit ribosomal RNA and internal transcribed spacer 1". The record is from RNAcentral.
AAGUCAGUAACAAGGUUUACCGAUGUCAGGUUGGAACCACUUGGCGGGAAAGGGAAUUCCAAUUUAACCAAAAUAAAGCUGGUAGGAAGUGGGGUCUUGAUCUGUAAGUGGUAGAGCGAACAGUCCGGCUGCCUCCCGAAAUGUCUUACAUGUCCCCCACAGCCUGAAGGCCGAAUUACAACCCUUGAUUAUCUACACUUGUUGCUUUGGGGUGCUCAAGUGCCCCAGAGGACCCAACUCUCUUGCAUUUAGUGACGUCUGAGUACUAUAUAAUAUUUAAAA